GGCCGACUGGCGCAACGGCAGCGCGUUCGACUCCAGUGUGUUUGGCAAUCGAAAGGUUAUCCGUUCAAAUCGGGUGUUGGUCA
Non-coding RNA from Parachaetomium inaequale, 83 nucleotides. The record is from the annotation of a GenBank genome assembly. NCBI's taxonomy places the organism in Eukaryota, Fungi, Ascomycota, Sordariomycetes, Sordariales, Chaetomiaceae.